This 482-nucleotide ribosomal RNA is filed under the name uncultured bacterium. Its description in RNAcentral is "partial 16S ribosomal RNA". It matches the Rfam family "Bacterial small subunit ribosomal RNA", at positions 29 to 507 of the family's 1533-position model. The record is from RNAcentral.
AUUGAACGCUGGCGGCAUGCUUUACACAUGCAAGUCGAACGGUAACAGCACUUCGGUGGCUGACGAGUGGCGCACGGGUGGGUAAUACACCGGAACGUGCCUAGCAGUGGGGGAUAACUACUCGUAAGAGUAGCUAAUACCGCAUGAGAUCUAAGCAUGAAAGCAGGGGACCUUCGGGCCUUGCGCUACUAGAGCGGGUGAUGGCGGAGGAGGUAGUUGGUGGGAUAAACGCUUACCAAGCCGGCGAUCGGGAGCUGGUGUGAGAGGACGACCAGCCACACGGGGAGUGAGCCACGGCCCAGACUCCUGCGGGAGGCAGCAGUGGGGAAUGUUAGGCAAUGGGCGGAAGCCUGGUACAGUAAUGCCGCGUGCAGGAUGAAGGCCUUCGGGUUGUAAAGUGCUUUUGUACGGAACGAAAAGCCUUCGUCUAAGACGGGGGGGUCAUGACGGUACCGGAAGAAUAAGCACCGGCUAACUACGUG